GGAUGUGAGGGCAGUCUGUGACAUCUGUCACCCCGUUGUUCUGGCUGAUCUGGCUCCCUAGGUAGGUGUCUCCUUCCUCCCUCACCACUCUGUGUCUGUCCCUCCUGAAGCUAUGUGCUCGGUCAAAGAGGACAACCUUCUCCGACAGAGGAGGACUGUUUUUCAGUCAAGGGUAUGUGAGUAGCUGUGCUCCCCAGCUAGAACCUGCAGACAAGCUCUCAAGGUCUAGUCGUAGGAGAACGUAGGGCAGUCAAGCUUCCAAGACUCUAGACACAUACAAAUGAAGUGUUGAAUGUGGCAGUCUGCUUUUUGAU
This is an unclassified non-coding RNA of Mustela putorius furo (domestic ferret), 314 nucleotides long. Its record names the gene 7SK. It matches the Rfam family "7SK RNA". From Rfam's summary of the family: 7SK was discovered as an abundant small nuclear RNA in the mid-70s but a possible function has only recently been suggested. Two independent studies have found that 7SK RNA binds the CDK9/cyclin T complex (known as elongation factor P-TEFb). P-TEFb activates transcription by phosphorylating the C-terminal domain of RNA polymerase II. NCBI's taxonomy places the organism in Eukaryota, Metazoa, Chordata, Mammalia, Carnivora, Mustelidae. The record is from Ensembl.